AUUGAACGCUGGCGGCAUGGCUAAAACAUGCAAGUCGAACGAACCCGCAAGGGUGAGUGGCGAAAGGGUCAGUAAUGCGAUCGAACGUACCCUGAGGUAGAGGAUAGGUCAUCGAAAGGUGGCGUAAUACUCUAUGAUAUCCUCGGAUCAAAGGUUUACCGCCUUGGGAGCGGCGAUCGUCCUAUCAGGUAGUUGGCGGGGUAACGGCCCACCAAGCCGAAGACGGGUAGCAGGUGUGAGAGCACGACCUGCGACAUCGGGACUGAGACACUGCCCGGACUCCUACGGGAGGCUGCAGUAAGGAAUAUUGGUCAAUGGACGCAAGUCUGAACCAGCCAUGCCGCGUGAAGGAUGAAGGUCCUCUGGAUUGUAAACUUCUUUAUCUGGGACGAAACACUCUUAAUCUUAAGAGCUUGACGGUACCAGAGGAAUAAGCACCGGCUAACUCCGUGCCAGCAGCCGCCGUAAU
This 469-nucleotide ribosomal RNA is filed under the name uncultured bacterium. RNAcentral's name for it is "bacterial SSU rRNA". It matches the Rfam family "Bacterial small subunit ribosomal RNA", at positions 30 to 524 of the family's 1533-position model. The record is from RNAcentral.